This 1548-nucleotide long non-coding RNA is filed under the name Capsicum annuum. RNAcentral's name for it is "long non-coding RNA (CANN_LNC005899)". Lineage: Eukaryota; Viridiplantae; Streptophyta; Magnoliopsida; Solanales; Solanaceae. The record is from RNAcentral.
UUUACGAAGACCUAGAUAAUAUUGAAACUGAAGAGGGACACAUGAUCAAAGAUUACAUCGUGGGGGUAGAUAUUACUUGGAUGAACAUAGGGGGAAAGAUGAUGAAAGGGUAUGAACUUGGUAAGGGUUUGGGAGCAAAAUUGUAAGGAAUCAUCGAACCUAUACAACCAAAGUUCAAGAAGGACACCUUUGGCCUGGGGUACGAAUACACUCCGGAAGAGUACCUCAACUGGGAGUCACCUUUAGGCCGCUGCUUCCCUCUACCAAAUCCAUUGCCUACACUAUGUAAGAUCUUUUGUUCAGCUGGUUUUUUGGAAAAUUUGGAAGAAGACAUCUAUUUUGCGGAGAAAUUUUGACUUUUGAAGAGAGUGAGUCGCCACUUUGAAAAGGAAUUAAAAAACCUUUAGAGAGUUACUUAAAACGGUUCAAAAUAGGAAAAUCAUUUUAAGUUAGAGAUUCCGAGUAAGUGGUUCCUAUUAACAUUUUAGGAAGAUGUUAGACACCUAAAACUUCUGCUAACUUGCGGUUGACUGUUUGAAAACGUCUUUGAUUAACUUUGAGAAGUUGAUUUUUUUUUUGAAAAGAAACCGGUUUUAGAAAUAUUUUUUGUGUUUAUACAAAACCAGUUUUUUAGCGACUGAACUAAGAAUUUAACUAGGUUCGCAAAACACAUAAGGAAAACAAGCAUAAAGAAGAGGGGAAGGAGAGGAAGUGAGGGAUUUAGGCCAUUGGCCCAAACCAAGAAAAUCUGUCCUAGUCUAAUUGGGCCUUUGACCCGUUUCACCUGUCCUAAUCUAGUUUUCAAGCCUUUGGAUCGAGUCUUGCUCCACCUAUAUUAAAUUUACAACUUCUGGCUUCGAAGCUGUAACACCCCACAUUUUACAUGUACUAGUAAUAUUCACAUAAAAUGACAUACGACUUGAUUUAAUUACUACCAAAAUUUGUCAAGUGUUCAAGUAUUAGAUUGGGGCACUAUAUGGAAGUCUAUUUAGAGACUGUGGCCUUAAACGGAAGAAAAAAAAAAACAAUGGAUUGGGAAUAUUGAAGAAGACAUCAUAAGCUGCAUGCAACUUGAGAGACCCUUGAACGCUUGGAGUUACAUGCGUUGGUUUGGUUAUGAAGAGUACAGAGGCCUUGGCGCCAGAUUGCAAGGAAUAAUUGAUCCUCUGGUAGUUGACGAAAAGGAACACGAUUGCGGGCUAGGCUAUGAAGGCAAAAACACGUCUGACCCUGCAUUGUCACUAUACCAAAUCUUCAUUUCUAUAGGAUUUCGUGAAAAUGACGACAUUAUUAAAAUAACGGAGAUGAUUAAAAGGCUCACCCUGACCAAGGACAUCAUCUUCUUUUACGAAGACCUAGAUAAUAUUGAAACUGAAGAGGGACACAUGAUCAAAGAUUACAUCGUGGGGGUAGAUAUUACUUGGAUGAACAUAGGGGGAAAGAUGAUGAAAGGGUAUGAACUUGGUAAGGGUUUGGGAGCAAAAUUGUAAGGAAUCAUCGAACCUAUACAACCAAAGUUCAAGAAGGACACCUUUGGCCUGGGGUACG